This 298-nucleotide ribosomal RNA is filed under the name Parcubacteria group bacterium. RNAcentral's name for it is "partial 23S ribosomal RNA". It matches the Rfam family "Bacterial large subunit ribosomal RNA", at positions 2606 to 2913 of the family's 2925-position model. The record is from RNAcentral.
UGGGUUCAGAACGUCGUGAGACAGUUCGGUCUCCUAUCCGCUACGGGCGUAGAAUUUUGAAGGGAUUCGUCUCUAGUACGAGAGGACCGAGAUGGAUAAACCUCUAGUGUACCAGUUGUCUUACCAAAGGCAUAGCUGGGUAGCUACGUUUAGUGCGGAUAAGCGCUGAAAGCAUAUAAGCGCGAAGCCGUCCCUAAGAUUAGAAUUCGUUAUAGGCUCCUGGGAGACUACCAGGUUGAUAGGCCCUAUGUGUAAUGACAGUAAUGUCUUUAGCAGAGGGGUACUAAUAAGCCAAAGC